This 481-nucleotide long non-coding RNA is filed under the name Trifolium pratense (red clover). RNAcentral describes it as "long non-coding RNA (TPRA_LNC011473)". Lineage: Eukaryota; Viridiplantae; Streptophyta; Magnoliopsida; Fabales; Fabaceae. The record is from RNAcentral.
UUCCAUUGCUUAUGAAAAAACAUCAUUGGGAGAGGUCAACCUCAGUUACCUCGAUGGAUUAGUCUUUGCAGUUGUGCACGUAGGAUACCUUGGUUUACUAAGAAAAAAAGUAACUUGAUUAAUUGUAAAAAUUUUGUGUAGUUAACCACAAUUAUCUGAUAUUCAUUUACAUGUAGAUAUUUGACCAUCUGAAAAAUUGUGAUUAAUCAUGUCCAAGUUUGUGGUUAAGGUAGUUACAUCGUGGUUGAUGUGUUUUGAUGAUGGUAUAUACAUUAACCAUUUAAUGAAAGCAAUUUGAAUUGCGUUAACUGCUUAAAAAGUUUUUGCGAAAGUUGUCUAAAUUUGUUUGCUCAAAUAACACAACUGAUUUGCAAUUUGGUUUCUAUAUGAUGCUCAUUACUGUCUUACUCUGAGAUACAAUGUGUUUUGAAUUUGGUGCUUUUUAUAAACCUUUAUGCCUGUGCGUUGAAUUGAAUGUUGC